GAUGAACGCUGGCGGCGUGCCUAAUACAUGCAAGUCGAGCGAACAGACGAGGAGCUUGCUCCUCUGACGUUAGCGGCGGACGGGUGAGUAACACGUGGAUAACCUACCUAUAAGACUGGGAUAACUUCGGGAAACCGGAGCUAAUACCGGAUAAUAUAUUGAACCGCAUGGUUCAAUAGUGAAAGACGGUUUUGCUGUCACUUAUAGAUGGAUCCGCGCCGCAUUAGCUAGUUGGUAAGGUAGCGGCUUACCAAGGCGACGAUGCGUAGCCGACCUGAGAGGGUGAUAGGACACACUGGAACUGAGACACGGUCCAGACUCCUACGGGAGGCAGCAGUAGGGAAUCUUCCGCAAUGGGCGAAAGCCUGACGGAGCAACGCCGCGUGAGUGAUGAAGGUCUUCGGAUCGUAAAACUCUGUUAUUAGGGAAGAACAAAUGUGUAAGUAACUAUGCACGUCUUGACGGUACCUAAUCAGAAAGCCACGGCUAACUACGUG
Molecule: ribosomal RNA, 497 nt
Filed under: uncultured bacterium
Lineage: Bacteria
Description: partial 16S ribosomal RNA
Rfam family: Bacterial small subunit ribosomal RNA
Source: RNAcentral